AGCGAACGUUAGCGGCGGGCCUAACACAUGCAAGUCGUACGAGAACGCUCCUUCGGGAGUUAUUAAAGUGGCGCACGGGUGAGGAACGCGUAGGUAAUCUACCCUCAGGCGGGGGACAACACUCCGAAAGGAAUGCUAAUACCGCGUAAGACCACACUUACUAAGGUGAGAGUGGUAAAAGAUGGCCUCUUCUUGAAAGCUAUCACCAGAGGAUGAGCCUGCGUCCCAUCAGCUUGUUGGUAAGGUAACGGCUUACCAAGGCGAAGACGGGUAGCUGGUCUGAGAGGAUGAUCAGCCACACUGGCACUGGAACACGGGCCAGACUCCUACGGGAGGCAGCAGUGAGGAAUAUUGGGCAAUGGGCGCAAGCCUGACCCAGCCACGCCGCGUGUGUGAUGAAGGCCUUCGGGUCGUAAAGCACUGUGGGGAGGGACGAAAAACCUCCGUUCGAAUAGGGCGGAGGCUUGACGGUACCUCCUUAGCAAGCACCGGCUAACUCUGUG
RNAcentral lists this ribosomal RNA (503 nucleotides) under uncultured bacterium. Its description in RNAcentral is "bacterial SSU rRNA". It matches the Rfam family "Bacterial small subunit ribosomal RNA", at positions 29 to 507 of the family's 1533-position model. The record is from RNAcentral.